Molecule: non-coding RNA, 23 nt
Filed under: Arabidopsis thaliana (thale cress)
Lineage: Eukaryota; Viridiplantae; Streptophyta; Magnoliopsida; Brassicales; Brassicaceae
Source: RNAcentral
UCGAUGGUAGGAUAGUGGCCUAC